RNAcentral lists this ribosomal RNA (253 nucleotides) under uncultured Bdellovibrio sp. Its description in RNAcentral is "partial 16S ribosomal RNA". It matches the Rfam family "Bacterial small subunit ribosomal RNA", at positions 524 to 776 of the family's 1533-position model. The record is from RNAcentral. Lineage: Bacteria; Pseudomonadati; Bdellovibrionota; Bdellovibrionia; Bdellovibrionales; Pseudobdellovibrionaceae.
GACGAGGGAUCCUAGCGUUGUUCGGAAUCAUUGGGCGUAAAGCGGGCGUAGGUGGCUUUAUAAGUCAGGUGUGAAAUCCCCGGGCUCAACCCGGGACGUGCACUUGAUACUGUUUAGCUUGAGUGUGGAAGAGGUGAGUGGAAUUCCAGGUGUAGUGGUGAAAUACGUAGAUAUCUGGAGGAACACCGGUGGCGAAAGCGGCUCACUGGUCCAACACUGACACUGAAGCCCGAAAGCGUGGGGAUCAAACAGG